This 460-nucleotide ribosomal RNA is filed under the name uncultured Flavobacteriaceae bacterium. RNAcentral's name for it is "bacterial SSU rRNA". It matches the Rfam family "Bacterial small subunit ribosomal RNA", at positions 44 to 497 of the family's 1533-position model. The record is from RNAcentral. Lineage: Bacteria; Pseudomonadati; Bacteroidota; Flavobacteriia; Flavobacteriales; Flavobacteriaceae.
AGGCUUAACACAUGCAAGUCGAGGGGUAACAGGGAUUGCUUGCAAUCCGCUGACGACCGGCGCACGGGUGCGUAACGCGUAUGCAACCUACCUUCUACAGGGGGAUAGUCAAUAGAAAUGUUGAAUAAUACCCCAUACGAUCAUUAAUCUGCAUGGAUUGAUGAAGAAAGUUCCGGCGGUAGAAGAUGGGCAUGCGUCCUAUUAGUUAGUUGGUAAGGUAACGGCUUACCAAGACAUCGAUAGGUAGGGGUCCUGAGAGGGAGAUCCCCCACACUGGUACUGAGACACGGACCAGACUCCUACGGGAGGCAGCAGUGAGGAAUAUUGGACAAUGGAGGCAACUCUGAUCCAGCCAUGCCGCGUGCAGGAAGACUGCCCUAUGGGUUGUAAACUGCUUUUAUACAGGAAGAAUAGUACCUACGUGUAGGUAUUUGACGGUACUGUACGAAUAAGGAUCGGC